This 395-nucleotide ribosomal RNA is filed under the name uncultured bacterium. RNAcentral describes it as "partial 16S ribosomal RNA". It matches the Rfam family "Bacterial small subunit ribosomal RNA", at positions 523 to 918 of the family's 1533-position model. The record is from RNAcentral.
AUACGUAGGGUGCAAGCGUUAAUCGGAAUUACUGGGCGUAAAGCGUGCGCAGGCGGUUUUGUAAGACAGGGGUGAAAUCCCCGGGCUCAACCUGGGAACUGCCCUUGUGACUGCAAGGCUGGAGUGCGGCAGAGGGGGGUGGAAUUCCCCGUGUAGCGGUGAAAUGCGUAGAUAUGCGGAGGAACACCGAUGGCGAAGGCAAUCCCCUGGGCCUGCUCUGACGCUCAUGCAAGAAAGCGUGGGGAGCAAACAGGAUUAGAUACCCUGGUAGUCCACGCCAUAAACGAUGUCAACUGGGUGUUGGGGAUUUAUUUUCUCAGUAACGAAGCUAACGCGUGAAGUGGACCGCCUGGGGAGUACGGCCGCAAGGUUAAAACUCAAAGGAAUUGACGGGG